GUGUUGUGAGCUCCCUGGAGUUACGUUCUUGCCAGUUUCAGCUCAAUUGAUCCCCCUCCCCUGAGCUAUCAUUGGAUACAUUUUACUUCAUUGAACACCUGACUGCUGCUUUUUCUGUAAUCCCUCAGGGGCAGUCAUCUUUUCUGAUUCUGUGUAUAGUUUGCCUUUCCAGAUCCGUGCCAUUUAAGCUAGAAAAGGGGUCAGUUUUGAGAUGUUGUGAAAAUGUUGAAAGGCUCCUCGUUAUUAGUGGGAAGUAUCUGAUGUUGCCAGAGACUGAACUGGGGCGCGGGGAGCACUACGGCUGCUAGACACUGCCUCACUGCGCUGUGGGUGGUGGGGGGGGAGGUGCUGGAUUCAGUCUUACUGCCUAAUGAUUUGUGAGGAUUUGUGUUUUCAGAGUAACAUGUUUACCUUAUGUUAUCAGUUCCUAAUAUGUGACGUAUGGGCCACAGAUGCUGGUGUAUUAUUUCACAUGCAUUUAUAUAGAUUGUUUUCAGGGAAUUCAGAAAUUCUGUUAUCUCUACACUAGUGAUUGUGCUUUCUUGAUUUUUCUCUUUUCAUUAUUCUUAAAUCCUCCUUUUUUUAUUUGCAUCUCAGUUUAUUUAUACUCGGGAAGUGCAAGACAUGGCGACUAGAAAGAGAUGUCAAGAGAACCCGGAAUCCAGUAGGCUACAAUUUGGCAAAUCUUAGCUUAAAACUUCCUAAAUGUUGACCACAGUGGAUGCAAAUGGCUCUGUGCAUCGUCUGUUCAAUAUGGUCAGGUGACCACCCAGGUUCACGUGGUUUGUCACCAGGGUGAUACGAGCCACACGGAGUGCCCUCCUCAGAGGCCAUGUCUCAGAGACGUUUAUUUUGAGUGGUUUUCCAGCGAGUGAUGCAAGAUUUAUGAUCCAUUUUAACAGCUGCUUUUUAUGCAUUUGCUCAAAUUUUUAGAUUUUAAGUUUAGUUUUAGGUUUUCUGUUAAUUUGCUCAACUAGGAGUGGUGGUCAAAUACUGGACCUCAUUAGCAUGGUAGCCUGCCCUCCUUGGCAGGCUCCACUGGAGUGCCUUGGGGCCUGCCUGGAUUCCAGUCCUGGCUCUACCAGUUUUGUGUCCUCGCCGUUACUGGGAGGGAGUAUUGAGGAAAUGCAUGCGAGGUGCCUCCGUGAUUCCUGGCACGGAGCAAGUGCUCAGUAAUUGUCAGCUGUGAGUAUUAGUAGUAGCUAAUACACUACUACUAUUCUUGGCUAACAAGCCAGCUCAAAGCUUUGAUGGUUUUCCAUUACCUGAUGAUGGUGAUGAUGGUUUCCACUUCCUGAACACUCACACCCCUGGGCUAGGCACUUAACCCAAAUCCAAGGUCAGCGUUAUUGUUUGGAGGUGGGGGAGACACCUCCUGCUCUGACUCGUGUGUUUGGGUUCCCGUAUUUUCACCAGAGGGUGUUAGUCCUGCCCCAGUUCAGCUGGUCCUCAAAGCGUAUAUAGCUCUUUAACCCUCAGCAAGUGUCAGUCAGAACAUAAUCUUGAUUUCAGCUGCUACUAAAUAUCUACCAGGAGCCUGCUUGAGAGAGAGAAUUGCCUGACAGGUGCUGAGUCCACCAUUCCUGAGAUACUUUGAAAUCAGUGUCUGGCUUAACCCAAGCUGUGUAUGGGGACCCUCUCACCGUGGUCCCAAUGGAGUCGCUUUUGUUAGGCGCCCCCCUUUACCUUGGGCUCUGAGCUUCCUCUGCCUUUCAUCUCUGCAGGAUGAAGCCCCACUCGCCCUUCAGGAUGCAAAGCCCUCCUCUAUAAAGUGCAUGCGGGGCCAGAUGCAGUGGCUCACGUCUGACCUCCCAACACUUUGGGAGGCCGAGGCAGGGGGAUCGUUUGAGACCAGCCUGGACAACAUUGUGAGACCCUGUUCCUUGAAUUGCCCUGGGAGAUUUCCUCAGCUUGUACUGGAGGUGUGUGGCCCCAUGAAGCCCAUAGUCACCGUUCACCCUGAGAGACGCUGGCUUUGGGGCUGACACACCUGCUGCGGGGCAGCCCCAGGAGAUGGCCACCCUGUUUCUCCUGGAGCUGGAGCUGCGCGUCUUCUCAGAAACUGUGGUGGCUGUCCUGUUUUGUUUGCAUCUUAUAAACCUUUACCUGAUUACAUUUUCCUCUUCAAUUUAGCUGCUAGAAAACUUAAAGUCAGAUUGGUGGCUCACCAGUAAUGAGAGUUUAGAGUAGAGGUAAACUUUAUGACAUAGUCUUAGACUCUUCACUUUCUCCUCAGCCAACAUGAUUCACAUUUACUUUAUUUUGCUGUACUGUGAGUGUCUUUGUGUUUCCUGAAUUCCUUCUGGAAUAAGGCAGGUUGUUAGUAAGCACAGGUUUCUGGUCCAUCUCAUAGCCUCAGGCAGUGGGCGGUGCUGUCCGUGCUCCCUUUCUGGGUUACCUGUGGUAGCUCUGAAGUUGCAGGGCUGCGAUUUGAAGCCUGAUUUAGUACACCGUGUUUCUGUUGUGUUCUGUGGUGGUUUGCUCCUCACAUGUGAGCAUUCACCCUGUGGCCCUGUGUUUUUCCACCACACCUCUGCCUGGUGGCAUCCUACUGGAUGUCUCAGCUGAGCCACUCUGUUCUGAAGAUGCCCUUGUCCUCCACCCCUUUGCUUUGGGCUCUGAGCUUCUUCUGCCUUUCAUCUCUGUAGGAUGAAGCCCCACCCGCCCUUCAGGAUGCCAGCCUUGGCAACAUUUGCUUGUAUUGUAGGUGAAACCGCACUGAGAAGGUAUUUGUGGCCCGUAUGCUGAUUGAUUGAUGAGACUUCUUUGCACAGGAGAGCUGCUAAAAAUUAUUACGGUGAACAGGUAUGAAGAAGACUGUUCUCUGCCCUUCUUUUUGCAAUAAAAUGUUACAAACUAUCUUGAGAUUGAUCCCUUUUCGGGUGUUUGGGUUUUUUUUAACAUUCACAUAUUUCUUGGAAUUAUAAGAAAUUAACUUUGUGCUUCUGAAGUGGGUUUCCCUUAAUAUAACACUGAUGUAUUUGUAAGGGGCAUUUUUAAAGUUGUACUUUAAAAAAUAAUAAUUCUUACAUUCGUUUGAA
Molecule: long non-coding RNA, 3041 nt
Filed under: Homo sapiens (human)
Lineage: Eukaryota; Metazoa; Chordata; Mammalia; Primates; Hominidae
Description: HSALNT0317466
Source: RNAcentral